Molecule: long non-coding RNA, 1371 nt
Organism: Monodelphis domestica (gray short-tailed opossum)
Lineage: Eukaryota; Metazoa; Chordata; Mammalia; Didelphimorphia; Didelphidae
Source: Ensembl
AUGGGGCCCAACCAAGCUGGGAACCGGGCCCUUUCCGGUGACUCCAGGGAAUUCAGGUGCAAGAUGAUGCCCUGGACUUUGGGCCGCAAACCAGGCAUCCUUAAGUGCAGCUUGAUGCGGUUAGAGGUAACAAGCCUCCCUUUCUCGCCUGACCCUCAAGGCCAUCCAACCACCUUUGAGGAGGGAGACGGGAUGAAUUCUAAGACAGGAGAGCUGAUUUCUAAAGGAGGCCAUCAAACCACCUUUGAGGAAGGAGACGGGAUGAAUUCCAAGACAGGAGAGCUGAUUUCUAAAGGAGGCCAUCAAACCACCUUUGAGCUGAUUGCUAAAGGAGGCCAUCAAACCACCUUUGAGGAAGGAGACGGGAUGAAUUCUAAGACAGGAGAGCUGAUUUCUAAAGGAGGCCAUCAAACCACCUUUGAGCUGAUUUCUAAAGGAGGCCAUCAAACCACCUUUGAGCUGAUUUCUAAAGGAGGCCAUCAAACCACCUUUGAGCUGAUUGCUAAAGGAGGCCAUCAAACCACCUUUGAGGAAGGAGACGGGAUGAAUUCUAAGACAGGAGAGCUGAUUUCUAAAGGAGGCCAUCAAACCACCUUUGAGGAAGGAGACGGGAUGAAUUCUAAGACAGGAGAGCUGAUUGCUAAAGGAGGCCAUCAAACCACCUUUGAGGAAGGAGACGGGAUGAAUUCUAAGACAGGAGAGCUGAUUUCUAAAGGAGGCCAUCAAACCACCUUUGAGCUGAUUUCUAAAGGAGGCCAUCAAACCACCUUUGAGCUGAUUUCUAAAGGAGGCCAUCAAACCACCUUUGAGCUGAUUUCUAAAGGAGGCCAUCAAACCACCUUUGAGGAAGGAGACGGGAUGAAUUCUAAGACAGGAGAGCUGAUUUCUAAAGGAGGCCAUCAAACCACCUUUGAGCUGAUUUCUAAAGGAGGCCAUCAAACCACCUUUGAGCUGAUUUCUAAAGGAGGCCAUCAAACCACCUUUGAGGAAGGAGACGGGAUGAAUUCUAAGACAGGAGAGCUGAUUUCUAAAGGAGGCCAUCAAACCACCUUUGAGCUGAUUUCUGAAGGAGGCCGUCAAACCACCUUUGAGGAAGGAGACGGGGUGAAUUCUAAGGCAGGAGAGCUGAUUUCUAAAGGAGGCCAUCAAACCACCUUUGAGCUGAUUUCUGAAGGAGGCCGUCAAACCACCUUUGAGGAAGGAGACGGGGUGAAUUCUAAGGCAGGAGAGCUGAUUUCUAAAGGAGGCCAUCAAACCACCUUUGAGCUGAUUUCUAAAGGAGGCCAUCAAACCGUCUUUGAGGAAGGAGACGGGGUGAAUUCUAAGGCAGGAGAGCUGAUUUCUCAACUUCCUCCCUCACCCACCAGCUGA